RNAcentral lists this ribosomal RNA (64 nucleotides) under Byblis liniflora. The record is from RNAcentral. Lineage: Eukaryota; Viridiplantae; Streptophyta; Magnoliopsida; Lamiales; Byblidaceae. RNAcentral also lists the same sequence under 5 other names.
AGCGUGCUUGGGCGAGAGUAGUACUAGGAUGGGUGACCCCCUGGGAAGUCCUCGUGUUGCACCC